Molecule: transfer RNA, 75 nt
Filed under: Candidatus Levybacteria bacterium RIFCSPHIGHO2_02_FULL_42_12
Lineage: Bacteria; Candidatus Levyibacteriota
Also listed under: 1 other name
Description: tRNA-Ile
Rfam family: tRNA
About the family: Transfer RNA (tRNA) molecules are approximately 80 nucleotides in length. Their secondary structure includes four short double-helical elements and three loops (D, anti-codon, and T loops).
Source: RNAcentral
AGGCCCGUAGCUCAAUGGUGGAGCAUCAAGCUUAUAUCUUGAGGGUUGCAGGUUCGAUCCCUGCCGGGCCUACAA